RNAcentral lists this ribosomal RNA (383 nucleotides) under Mesoclemmys nasuta. Its description in RNAcentral is "partial 12S rRNA". Lineage: Eukaryota; Metazoa; Chordata; Testudines; Chelidae. The record is from RNAcentral.
CCCUAAACAUAGAUUUUUUCAANAAAAAAAAUCCGCCCAGAGUCNUUUUACCCAAAAUUUGGAACUCAAAGGGCUUGGCGGGGNCUCAAACCCCACUNGAGGAGNCUGUUCUAUAAUCGAUAAUCCACGAUUUACCUCACCACCCUUAGCCCCCAGCCUAUAUNCCUCCGUCUUCAGCCUACCCUGUGAAAGGAUUAAAGUAGGCACAAUAGUCAACAAGCACUAACAAGUCAGGUCAAGGUGUAUCCAAUUAGGUGGAAGAAAUGGGCUACAUUUUCUAUAAUAGAAAUAUUCUUACGGAGGGCACUUUGAAACAGGACCCAAUAAGCAGGAUUUAGCAGUAAUGUAGAAGCAGAGAGCCCACAUUAAUUAGGACCUGAGAC